RNAcentral lists this ribosomal RNA (240 nucleotides) under uncultured bacterium. RNAcentral describes it as "partial 16S ribosomal RNA". It matches the Rfam family "Bacterial small subunit ribosomal RNA", at positions 524 to 764 of the family's 1533-position model. The record is from RNAcentral.
UACGUAGGGUGCAAGCGUUAAUCGGAAUUACUGGGCGUAAAGCGUGCGCAGGCGGUGAUGUAAGACAGAUGUGAAAUCCCCGGGCUCAACCUGGGAACUGCAUUUGUGACUGCAUGGCUGGAGUGCGGCAGAGGGGGGAUGGAAUUCCGCGUGUAGCAGUGAAAAUGCGUAGAUAUGCGGAGGAACACCGAUGGCGAAGGCAAUCCCCUGGGCCUGCACUGACUCAUGCACAAAGCGUGG